GACGACGCUGGCGGCGUGCUUAACACAUGCAAGUCGAACGGUGACGAGGAGCUUGCUCCUCUGAUCAGUGGCGAACGGGUGAGUAACACGUGAGCAACCUGCCCCAGACUCUGGGAUAACAGUUGGAAACAGCUGCUAAUACCGGAUACGAGACGGAGAGGCAUUUCUACCGUCUGGAAAGUUUUCGGUCUGGGAUGGACUCGCGGCCUAUCAGCUAGUUGGUGAGGUAAUGGCUCACCAAGGCGACGACGGGUAGCCGGCCUGAGAGGGCGACCGGCCACACUGGGACUGAGACACGGCCCAGACUCCUACGGGAGGCAGCAGUGGGGAAUAUUGCACAAUGGGCGAAAGCCUGAUGCAGCGACGCCGCGUGAGGGAUGACGGCCUUCGGGUUGUAAACCUCUUUCAGCAGGGAAGAAGCGAAAGUGACGGUACCUGCAGAAGAAGCACCGGCUAACUACGUG
RNAcentral lists this ribosomal RNA (464 nucleotides) under uncultured bacterium. Its description in RNAcentral is "bacterial SSU rRNA". It matches the Rfam family "Bacterial small subunit ribosomal RNA", at positions 33 to 507 of the family's 1533-position model. The record is from RNAcentral.